Molecule: small RNA, 218 nt
Filed under: Streptomyces albus
Lineage: Bacteria; Bacillati; Actinomycetota; Actinomycetes; Kitasatosporales; Streptomycetaceae
Also listed under: 1 other name
Description: c-di-AMP sequence
Rfam family: c-di-AMP riboswitch aptamer (ydaO/yuaA leader)
About the family: This family represents a conserved RNA structure found upstream of the ydaO and yuaA genes in Bacillus subtilis and related genes in other bacteria.
Source: RNAcentral
UCGCGUGAAGCGCCGUUGGCAGGAGCGGGGGAACCAAGGUUUGCGCCGGGUCCCAGGGGCCGGGCAGCACAUGCUGCCCACUUCGGGAAACGGCUAGGGGUGAAGUCGCACAGCGCGAGCGUGCGGCCGGGCAAUUCGCCUUCUGCUCUUACGGAGCGGGGGGCACCCCAUCGGCCCGAACCCGACAGCUCACCUCGCAGGCGUCGGUGAGGGGAUCU